Molecule: small RNA, 189 nt
Filed under: Vibrio aestuarianus
Lineage: Bacteria; Pseudomonadati; Pseudomonadota; Gammaproteobacteria; Vibrionales; Vibrionaceae
Description: MicX
Rfam family: MicX Vibrio cholerae sRNA
Source: RNAcentral
AUAAUAACGAUAGGGCGAUCGUGAGGUCGCCCAUUUUGUAUAUGCUUAACGUCUUUGGUUUGGCCGCCGGUCAGUUAAGUAAUAUGCAAAUCUGGCGUUACGCAUAGCUGGCUGUUAGCUCUAUUCCUUACUAUCAAACGACUAACAGUUUUUGUAACCAAAACCCGAGCAUUGCUUGGGUUUUUUUAU